CUGUUUAUCAAAAACAUUGCCUUUUGACUUUUGAUAAAAGGUACAUCCUGCCCAGUGAAAAUUUUCAACGGCCGCGGUACCCUGACCGUGCAAAGGUAGCAUAAUCAUUUGCCUUUUAAUUGGAGGCUAGUAUGAACGGACAAAUGAAGAUUAAGCUGUCUCCCUAGAAAACCUAAAAAUUAAUCUUCAGGUGAAGAAGCCUGAAUAACAAUAAAAGACAAGAAGACCCUAUUGAGCUUUACUUUAAUCCUAAAUAUUCUUAAUAAUUUUAUUUAAUAUCUUCAAGGAAUAAAGUUUGGUUGGGGCGACAAAGGAAUAUAAAAACCUUCCUUAAUAUUUAAAACCUAUAAGUAACAAUGACCCGAUUUAAUCGAUUAAAAGAAAAAGCUACCAUAGGGAUAACAGACUAAUCCUUCUAAAGAGCCCACAUUGAUAGAAGGGAUUGGCACCUCGAUGUUGGCUUAGAAUACCCUUUCGGUGCAGCAGCCGUAAAAGGUUGGUUUGUUCAACCAUAAAAAUUCUACGUGAUCUGAGU
RNAcentral lists this ribosomal RNA (535 nucleotides) under Nephtys cirrosa. RNAcentral's name for it is "partial 16S ribosomal RNA". It matches the Rfam family "Bacterial large subunit ribosomal RNA", at positions 1800 to 2610 of the family's 2925-position model. The record is from RNAcentral. Lineage: Eukaryota; Metazoa; Annelida; Polychaeta; Phyllodocida; Nephtyidae.